This 484-nucleotide ribosomal RNA is filed under the name uncultured bacterium. RNAcentral describes it as "partial 16S ribosomal RNA". It matches the Rfam family "Bacterial small subunit ribosomal RNA", at positions 30 to 507 of the family's 1533-position model. The record is from RNAcentral.
AUUGAACGCUGGCGGCAGGCCUAACACAUGCAAGUCGAGCGGAUGAAGGGAGCUUGCUCCUGGAUUCAGCGGCGGACGGGUGAGUAAUGCCUAGGAAACUGCCUGGUAGUGGGGGAUAACGUCCGGAAAAGGGCGCUAAUACCGCAUACGUUCUGAGGGAGAAAGGGGGGGAGCUUCGGACCUCACGCUAUCAGAUGAGCCUAGGUCGGAUUAGCUAGUUGGUGGGGUAAAGGCCUACCAAGGCGACGAUCCGUAACUGGUCUGAGAGGAUGAUCAGUCACACUGGAACUGAGACACGGUCCAGACUCCUACGGGAGGCAGCAGUGGGGAAUGUUGGACAAUGGGCGAAAGCCUGAUCCAGCCAUGCCGCGUGUGUGAAGAAGGUCUUCGGAUUGUAAAGCACUUUAAGUUGGGAGGAAGGGCAGUAAGUUAAUACCUUGCUGUUUUGACGUUACCAACAGAAUAAGCACCGGCUAACUUCGUG